ACUCCUACGGGAGGCAGCAGUGGGGAAUAUUGCACAAUGGGCGCAAGCCUGAUGCAGCCAUGCCGCGUGUAUGAAGAAGGCCUUCGGGUUGUAAAGUACUUUCAGCAGUGAGGAAGGCAGGUACGUUAAUAGCGUGCUUGUUUGACGUUAGCUGCAGAAGAAGCACCGGCUAACUCCGUGCCAGCAGCCGCGGUAAUACGGAGGGUGCGAGCGUUAAUCGGAAUUACUGGGCGUAAAGCGCAUGCAGGUGGUUUGUUAAGUCAGAUGUGAAAGCCCGGGGCUCAACCUCGGAAUUGCAUUUGAAACUGGCAGACUAGAGUACUGUAGAGGGGGGUAGAAUUUCAGGUGUAGCGGUGAAAUGCGUAGAGAUCUGAAGGAAUACCGGUGGCGAAGGCGGCCCCCUGGACAGAUACUGACACUCAGAUGCGAAAGCGUGGGGAGCAAACAGGAUUAGAU
RNAcentral lists this ribosomal RNA (456 nucleotides) under uncultured bacterium. RNAcentral describes it as "bacterial SSU rRNA". It matches the Rfam family "Bacterial small subunit ribosomal RNA", at positions 335 to 783 of the family's 1533-position model. The record is from RNAcentral.